Hipposideros armiger (great roundleaf bat) is the source of this 1201-nucleotide RNA transcript. It is a transcript of the gene named calcium-independent phospholipase A2-gamma pseudogene, with no coding region annotated. The record is from RefSeq and is a predicted model, not a curated record. Lineage: Eukaryota; Metazoa; Chordata; Mammalia; Chiroptera; Hipposideridae. The transcript has a single exon.
UUUUUUGCCAUUUCAGGUAAGACCAUGAAUUAUGGCAUUUUUUAAAUGAAGCAUUCAGGAAUGAAGUGAAAGUCAAAACAUAUAGAAAAUAAGCGAUUUUUAAGUUAUGUCUAUUAGUUUGACUAUAGAUAUAUAUAUUUACCUCCUUAGUAAUGCACGAAGUCUUUGUGGGAAGCAGAAGAGCAAACAGCUACAUUUCUUGUGCUCACCUAAACAUCACUGGAGGAUAAGCCACAUCAGUCUACAAAGAGGUUUUCAUACCAGCAGAAUAAGAUGUAAAUUGACCAAAAGUGAAGCACCUUCUUGCAGUAAGCACUGUUACUCGCCAAGCAAUGAUGGUUUACAUAUUGGGAUUUUGAAACUUAGCACUUCUGCUCCCAAGGGACUGACAAAAGUGAGCAUUCGUAUGUCCCGUAUUAAAAGUACUUUGAAUUCUGUUUCAAAGGCUGUUUUUGGAAAUCAGAAUGAAAUGAUCUCACGUUUAGCUCAAUUUAUGCCAAGUUCUCCAAUAUUAAGAAAAGCAUCAGAUAGUGGUUGGUUAAAACAGGAAAACAUUAAACAAACCAUCAAAUCUCUGAAAAAAUAUAGUGACAAAUCAGCAGAAAAGAGUUCUUUUCCAGGAAAGCAAAGUCAGGUUAUAGAUAAAGACGAAGAUACCAGUAAACAAAGCCUUGUUCAUCACACAAGUAGCAUAACCACAAAAUUUGGAGAGUCAUUCUACUUUUUAUCCAAUCAUAUUAAUUCAUACUUCAAACGUGAGGAAAAAAUGUCUGAAAAAAAGGAAAAUAAACAUUUCCAGGACAAAUCAGAACUUGAAGGUAAAAAGGUUGAAGAAGAGAAAUCCAGUUGUCCAGAUGGUGGUGUUCCGACUGAUAAAAAGCUAGACUCAGCAUCUUCCUUAGAGACUGUGGACAAACCUGGAAGUCCCAGCGGGACAACGGAGGUUCUUCCAGUUUCUACUAAACAAAGUAUUGCUAACUUCCUUUCUCGCCCCACUGAAGGUGUGCAAGCCUUAGUAGGGGGUUAUAUUGGUGGACUUGUGCCCAAAUUGAAGUAUGACUCAAAGAGUCACUCAGAAGAACAGGAAGAAGCUACUAAAGCUGAGCAUGCUGUCAGUAAAGACAAAAAUGCGGAGGAGAAAAAGCGUCUAUCUCUUCAGCGAGAAAAGGCAAGUGCUAUUCAGGGUGGGUUUAAGCUUUAA